UACGUAGGGUGCGAGCGUUAAUCGGAAUUACUGGGCGUAAAGCGUGUGCAGGCGGUUCGUUAUGUCCGAUGUGAAAGCCCCGAGCUUAACUUGGGAAUGGCAUUGGAAACUGGCGGGCUGGAGUGCGGCAGAGGGGGGUGGAAUUCCACGUGUAGCAGUGAAAUGCGUAGAGAUGUGGAGGAACACCGAUGGCGAAGGCAGCCCCCUGGGCUAACACUGACGCUCAGGCACGAAAGCGUGGGGAGCAAACAGG
RNAcentral lists this ribosomal RNA (253 nucleotides) under uncultured bacterium. RNAcentral's name for it is "partial 16S ribosomal RNA". It matches the Rfam family "Bacterial small subunit ribosomal RNA", at positions 524 to 776 of the family's 1533-position model. The record is from RNAcentral.